RNAcentral lists this ribosomal RNA (194 nucleotides) under uncultured Pseudomonas sp. RNAcentral's name for it is "partial 16S ribosomal RNA". It matches the Rfam family "Bacterial small subunit ribosomal RNA", at positions 338 to 524 of the family's 1533-position model. Lineage: Bacteria; Pseudomonadati; Pseudomonadota; Gammaproteobacteria; Pseudomonadales; Pseudomonadaceae. The record is from RNAcentral.
CCUACGGGAGGCAGCAGUGGGGAAUAUUGGACAAUGGGCGAAAGCCUGAUCCAGCCAUGCCGCGUGUGCGAAGAAGGUCUUCGGAUUGUAAAGCACUUUAAGUUGGGAGGAAGGGCAGUUACCUAAUACGUGAUUGUUUUGACGUUACCGACAGAAUAAGCACCGGCUAACUCUGUGCCAGCAGCCGCGGUAAU